UUAAAGUUUAGAUUUCAUAAACCAUCCUGAAUUUUUAACAAAUUUUGAUAGACAGAACUAGUCAAAAGAUAGUAUCUAGAGGAAAAUUAUAAAUAUUUUUUUUUCCUAUUUUUGUUGGGCCUGCGACUCACAGCAAAAGUAGGCGAGACACUGGGUUCUGCAAAACCCUUAAAAUUUUGAUAGCUGAAUACUCACUGAUUUUCUUAUUAGUAUUACCAUAACUUUUGAUCAGUUGACCAUAUUACAACAUUGUUUUAACAGUUAGUAAAUAGGUGUAAAAAUUCAUUUUAAAAUCAGUAAUUACUGGUAAUUACUGGGCAGUUCUAGGAAUUACUUGUAUUUACUAAGUGCAUCGGGAAUUACAUGUAAUUCCUAAAUUUUAGUAAUUACAUGUAAUUCCUAAUUUCACCUAUUUACUGUAACAUAUAUAUCAUAAA
This 437-nucleotide long non-coding RNA is filed under the name Mytilus galloprovincialis (Mediterranean mussel). The record is from RNAcentral. Lineage: Eukaryota; Metazoa; Mollusca; Bivalvia; Mytilida; Mytilidae.